RNAcentral lists this ribosomal RNA (517 nucleotides) under uncultured Actinomycetes bacterium. RNAcentral describes it as "bacterial SSU rRNA". It matches the Rfam family "Bacterial small subunit ribosomal RNA", at positions 367 to 896 of the family's 1533-position model. The record is from RNAcentral. Lineage: Bacteria; Bacillati; Actinomycetota; Actinomycetes.
CGCAAUGGGCGAAAGCCUGACGCAGCAACGCCGCGUGCGGGAUGACGGCUUCGGGUUGUAAACCGCUUUCAGCAGGGACGAAGUGUGAAUGACGGUACCUGCAGAAGAAGCACCGGCUAACUACGUGCCAGCAGCCGCGGUGAUACGUAGGGUGCGAGCGUUGUCCGGAAUUAUUGGGCGUAAAGAGCUUGUAGGCGGUUUGUUGCGUCGGAAGUGAAAACUCAGGGCUUAACCCUGAGCCUGCUUUCGAUACGGGCAGACUUGAGGAAGGUAGGGGAGAACGGAAUUCCUGGUGGAGCGGUGGAAUGCGCAGAUAUCAGGAGGAACACCAGUGGCGAAGGCGGUUCUCUGGACCUUUCCUGACGCUGAGAAGCGAAAGCGUGGGGAGCAAACAGGCUUAGAUACCCUGGUAGUCCACGCCGUAAACGGUGGGCACUAGGUGUGGGACCCUUCCACGGGUUCCGUGCCGUAGCUAACGCAUUAAGUGCCCCGCCUGGGGAGUACGGCCGCAAGGCUA